ACAAAAACAAAGAACAAAAUCUAUUCAUCUGAUGACAUGCAUGAUUAAAAGGUCUAGGCAAGGUACACUGCUCUACAUUCCUGAUGACUAAGGAAAAAAAGCUCAAGUCAAUUUAAUCUGCAGAUGGUCAAAGGAUUUUGUAUUCCAGCAGGAGCAGCAGUUCAGAUCUUCUGGAUUUUUUCCCCCACAACUACAGGAUUCUCUUUUCUGAUUUUCUCAGCAGCAUCAGCUUUGUAAUUGUAAGAGCAACUGUGUACAUCUGAAUAGCGGUGCAUGCCACAGUAAACGUUUCCACACCGACACUCAAACCCAGUAAGUCCAACCUUCUUCCUGCACAUGAAACAGCGAUUCUUUUUCUGUUUUGGUUUGUCAAGUGACUUGUCUUGUUCUUCAGGUGUAGGCUCUGCGUUCUCUGACACUGAAGCUUGCAACUCUUCUGUCUCAGGUACUGUUUUGUCCACAGCCGUGCUAUCGGGUUGGGAUGAUGCUACAGAUUCUGUUAGAAGUGACUGACUUGAUACAGGGCUUGGCUGCAUAGAUUGAGUCGAUGAAGAAUCUAAAGUUGACUGAGUUUCCUGGGCACUGCCUUCUGUGCACUGAACCGGUAAGGACUCAGUUAUACUACUGACAGAAGUUGCAGGAGGGCUAAUUCUACCAUUACUGUUCUGCCUCUGAAGAUGUUCUUUGUAGCAUACUGAACACAUGCCAUUUGUCCGAGGGUUCCCAUAAAAUCCGCAACCAGUGGAACAAAGCAUAGGCACUUGGCUACGGUUGGUUUCUUGAGCCAUCUUCUCUUCUUCUACACACCCACGGAUCGCCACAAUUUUCUGUUCGCUUCACCCCAGAUUAACUUCACUUGGAGCUG
RNAcentral lists this long non-coding RNA (865 nucleotides) under Gallus gallus (chicken). The record is from RNAcentral. Lineage: Eukaryota; Metazoa; Chordata; Aves; Galliformes; Phasianidae.